GUUAUACUGCUGUUGCUGCAUAGGUACAUGGUAUGAGAAUCAUGUUCUUUAUCUUUGAGAAAAUGAGUUAAAGGCUUGCUUCUUCACUUAACUGCAACACAGUUUACGGAUUCAGAUUUCACAUUUUGCUAAGUAUAAAUGACAUAUCUUAAGACUAAUGAAAACUUUCAUGUUUUACUUGUAUUUAUUAUGGUAACUUUUCUUUUCAUAGCCAUGUUCACUGCCCACUUCCCAUGAGAUUUCUCCAGUGUCCCCCAGACCUGACUGGAAAAAGUCACUAUCUUGAUGAAGCAGAUGUAUUUUACCUAAAUCCCUUAAACUGGUUACAUAGAGAGUUUCAUGAUGAUGCAUCAUUGCCUACUCACUUGAUCACCUUCAGCAUUUUGGAAGAGGAAAUAAGCGCUUUCCUAAUUUCAAGCAAUUAUAACAGAACUGCUGUUUUCUUCCACACUCACUUGCCGGAGGGUCGAAUUGGAAGUCACGUAUAUGUCUAUGAACGGAAGUUAAAAGGGAAAUUCAACACGAAGAUGAAAUUCUGAACUUUCCGAGAUAAAUUAACUUUGCUGGGUGGAAAUAUUCAGAUGCUGCUUAAAUACUUCGGUAAACACUGGGUAAGAUUCAUGGAACUUAGAAAAAAGCUGUAUGAACUGCUUUACCAAAUAUCACUACUGAGGAAAUGUAUAAAAUACCACAUAGUAUAAAAUUACAUGUUAAUACAAUGCUAGAUUUUAAAUAAAGACCUUUAGUUUUC
RNAcentral lists this small RNA (751 nucleotides) under Pongo abelii (Sumatran orangutan). RNAcentral describes it as "retained intron". Lineage: Eukaryota; Metazoa; Chordata; Mammalia; Primates; Hominidae. The record is from RNAcentral.